CCUUACUGACGCUAUUCUUGCGAGUGUUCACACAGAUUGCACGGUCAAAUUAAAAAAGCGCUAACUAAUGGCAAGCCAUUGGUUAACGCUUUUAGGCGUUACUCUGAAAAGAGAUGCUCUUUAACAAUCUGGAAAGCUGACAAGUCAUUCUUUAAGAAUGACAGUAAAGUUCUCAAUCAGUGACAUAUCAUGUCACUCACACAAUCAAGUGUGCUUGGACUUUGUCUUAUUAAAUCAAUAACGACAAAGCUUCUAUUUGAGUCCGGCAAAAACAAAACCUUAGUUGUUUAAACCGUUUGUUUUCACUUUUUAAAAGUGAAAGUAAAUAAGCAAGACCUUUUGGGGUUGUAU
Molecule: unclassified non-coding RNA, 351 nt
Filed under: Salinivibrio costicola
Lineage: Bacteria; Pseudomonadati; Pseudomonadota; Gammaproteobacteria; Vibrionales; Vibrionaceae
Description: partial 16S-23S ribosomal RNA intergenic spacer
Source: RNAcentral